This 441-nucleotide ribosomal RNA is filed under the name uncultured bacterium. RNAcentral describes it as "partial 16S ribosomal RNA". It matches the Rfam family "Bacterial small subunit ribosomal RNA", at positions 338 to 795 of the family's 1533-position model. The record is from RNAcentral.
CCUACGGGCGGCAGCAGUGGGGAAUAUUGCGCAAUGGGGGAAACCCUGACGCAGCAACGCCGCGUGAGUGAGGAAGUCUCUCGGUAUGUAAAGCUCUAUUAGCGGGGAAGAAAGAGGAGGGUAUCCGACUAAGAUGCACCGGCUAACGACGUGCCAGCAGCCGCGGUAAUACGUAGGGGGCGAGGGUUAUCCGGGUUUACUGGGUGUAUAGGGAGCGUAGACGGGGUAGCAAGUCUGAAGUGAAAGCCCGGGGCUCAACCGCGGAACCGCGUUUGAAACUGCGAGGCUGGAGUGCUGGAGAGGUAAGCGGAAUUCCGGGUGUAGCGGUGAAAUGCGUAGAUAUCAGGAGGAACACCGGUGGCGAAGGCGGCUUACUGGACAGUAACUGACGUUGAGGCUCGAAAGCGUGGGGAGCAAACAGGAUUAGACACCCCAGUAGUC